Molecule: unclassified non-coding RNA, 429 nt
Filed under: Hevea brasiliensis (rubber tree)
Lineage: Eukaryota; Viridiplantae; Streptophyta; Magnoliopsida; Malpighiales; Euphorbiaceae
Source: RNAcentral
GAAUUUGUUCGCUGCAAGUCCUGCAAAGUUUAAUCAUCGGAUUCUUAAUUCACAGACUAGUGGACUCUAGUCAAUGAAAAGAAAAAGAACAAGUCCAUAACCCUUGUAUGCUAACCAACUUUGUCUAAUAUUAAUAUAUUUCAGCAUCGUAACCAUUGUUCUAAUCUAUAAAUGAAAAUAGCCAAAUUCAUUAAAUUCAGAUUGCAUUUUGGAAUUUAGACAUGCAUAGCUACAAUAAUAAUAUAAUCCAAAUGGGCGUCCAGCCUCCAUGCCAUAUGAAACACUCCCAUUUGGCGACUACACACACAUGCAUAUAUAUUUAUAUAACACGAGAUAAACUAAUCAUAGAUGGCCAAUUAAAGAAACAAUUGUAAACCUAUAUGUUACAAGGAAACCAACACUGUACCUGAAGUAUCAACUCAUCUGGAA